This is a long non-coding RNA of Hyla sarda, 337 nucleotides long. RefSeq lists it as uncharacterized. The record is from RefSeq and is a predicted model, not a curated record. The transcript has 3 exons. Lineage: Eukaryota; Metazoa; Chordata; Amphibia; Anura; Hylidae.
UCUCCCCCUAUGUUCUGCACUACUCUUUACCUGUACCAGGGUUAGCUGCUGCUUUGGACACUAGAAAAUCUACACUUGACAUGUGUGAAUAGCACUUACACUAUGAAGAAAAUACACCGUUCACCAGAGGUCUUCUGUCUAAAGUGAUCAUUCUCCCAACAGAGGAUUUUUUUGUUUGAUGCCGCUGCACACUGUAAAUUCAUUAUUGCCAACCCAUUUUCCAGAAGUAUUACAUCAUUAAAGAAAUAAGGCUUGGCGGAGAAGGGAAAAUAUGCAUUAAAUGGACAAUCCUAAAUGAACUUUGCAAUAGCGGGAACUAAGUUAUCCACGGACAAUA